RNAcentral lists this ribosomal RNA (421 nucleotides) under uncultured Lachnospiraceae bacterium. RNAcentral describes it as "bacterial SSU rRNA". It matches the Rfam family "Bacterial small subunit ribosomal RNA", at positions 259 to 697 of the family's 1533-position model. Lineage: Bacteria; Bacillati; Bacillota; Clostridia; Lachnospirales; Lachnospiraceae. The record is from RNAcentral.
AACGGCCUACCAAGGCGACGAUCCAUAGCCGGCCUGAGAGGGUGAACGGCCACAUUGGGACUGAGACACGGCCCAGACUCCUACGGGAGGCAGCAGUGGGGAAUAUUGCACAAUGGGGGAAACCCUGAUGCAGCGACGCCGCGUGAAGGAAGAAGUAUCUCGGUAUGUAAACUUCUAUCAGCAGGGAAGAUAGUGACGGUACCUGACUAAGAAGCCCCGGCUAACUACGUGCCAGCAGCCGCGGUAAUACGUAGGGGGCAAGCGUUAUCCGGAUUUACUGGGUGUAAAGGGAGCGUAGACGGACUGGCAAGUCUGAUGUGAAAGGCGGGGGCUCAACCCCUGGACUGCAUUGGAAACUGUUAGUCUUGAGUGCCGGAGAGGUAAGCGGAAUUCCUAGUGUAGCGGUGAAAUGCGUAGAUAU